RNAcentral lists this ribosomal RNA (253 nucleotides) under uncultured bacterium. RNAcentral's name for it is "partial 16S ribosomal RNA". It matches the Rfam family "Bacterial small subunit ribosomal RNA", at positions 524 to 776 of the family's 1533-position model. The record is from RNAcentral.
UACGGGGGGGGCAAGCGUUGUCCGGAAUUACUGGGCGUAAAGGGCGCGUAGGCGGCCAACUAAGUCGGACGUGAAAUCCCUCAGCUUAACUGGGGAACUGCGUCCGAUACUGGAUGGCUUGAGUUUGGAAGAGGGAUGCGGAAUUCCAGGUGUAGCGGUGAAAUGCGUAGAUAUCUGGAGGAACACCGGUGGCGAAGGCGGCAUCCUGGACCAACACUGACACUGAGGAGCGAAAGCCAGGGGAGCAAACGGG